GGCCGGAUAAGGCGUUCACGCCGCAUCCGGCAAUCAACGCCUGAUGCGACGAUUUGCGCGUCUUAUCCGGCA
Molecule: non-coding RNA, 72 nt
Filed under: Escherichia coli
Lineage: Bacteria; Pseudomonadati; Pseudomonadota; Gammaproteobacteria; Enterobacterales; Enterobacteriaceae
Description: Nucleoid-associated noncoding RNA 4 (CssrE)
Rfam family: Nucleoid-associated noncoding RNA 4 (CssrE)
About the family: In E. coli small RNA transcribed from repeated extragenic palindromic element (REP325) called nucleoid-associated ncRNA 4 (nRNA4) collaborates HU protein in condensing the DNA. The secondary structure but not the sequence of the RNA is important in nucleoid condensation. Also identified in Shigella as CssrE.
Source: RNAcentral